CCAGACUCCUACGGGAGGCAGCAGUGGGGAAUAUUGCACAAUGGGGGAAACCCUGAUGCAGCAACGCCGCGUGAGUGAAGAAGCGUUUCGGCGCGUAAAGCUCUGUCAGCGGGGAAGAAAGAAGACGGUACCCGACCAAGAAGCCCCGGCUAACUACGUGCCAGCAGCCGCGGUAAUACGUAGGGGGCAAGCGUUAUCCGGAUUCACUGGGCGUAAAGGGAGCGCAGGCGGCACGGCAAGUCUGAUGUGAAAGCCCGGGGCUCAACCCCGGGACUGCAUUGGAAACUGCCGGGCUGGAGUGUCGGAGGGGUAAGCGGAAUUCCUAGUGUAGCGGUGAAAUGCGUAGAUAUUAGGAGGAACACCAGUGGCGAAGGCGGCUUACUGGACGAUCACUGACGCUGAGGCUCGAAAGCGUGGGGAGCAAACAGGAUUAGAUACCCCUUUAU
Molecule: ribosomal RNA, 446 nt
Filed under: uncultured bacterium
Lineage: Bacteria
Description: bacterial SSU rRNA
Rfam family: Bacterial small subunit ribosomal RNA
Source: RNAcentral